RNAcentral lists this ribosomal RNA (367 nucleotides) under alpha proteobacterium GA-35. RNAcentral describes it as "bacterial SSU rRNA". It matches the Rfam family "Bacterial small subunit ribosomal RNA", at positions 80 to 482 of the family's 1533-position model. Lineage: Bacteria; Pseudomonadati; Pseudomonadota; Alphaproteobacteria. The record is from RNAcentral.
GAACCUUCGGGUGUAGUGGCGCACGGGUGAGUAACGCGUGGGGAUGUACCAUAAGGUGCGGAAUAACUCAGAGAAAUUUGAGGUAAUACCGCAUAAUGCCUUCGGNCCAAAGAUUUAUCGCCCUUUGAUGAACCCGCGUAAGAUUAGCUUGUUGGUGAGGUAAAGGCUCACCAAGUCGACGAUCUUUAGCUGGUUUGAGAGGAUGAUCAGCCACACUGGGACUGAGACACGGCCCAGACUCCUACGGGAGGCAGCAGUGGGGAAUAUUGGACAAUGGGCGCAAGCCUGAUCCAGCAAUGCCGCGUGAGUGAUGAAGGCCUUGGAGUUGUAAAGCUCUUUUACCAGGGAUGAUAAUGGCAGUACCUGG